Molecule: ribosomal RNA, 608 nt
Filed under: uncultured bacterium
Lineage: Bacteria
Description: bacterial SSU rRNA
Rfam family: Bacterial small subunit ribosomal RNA
Source: RNAcentral
CCUACGGGAGGCAGCAGUGAGGAAUAUUGGACAAUGGGCGCAAGCCUGAUCCAGCCAUGCCGCGUGCAGGAUGACGGUCCUAUGGAUUGUAAACUGCUUUUAUACGAGAAGAAACACUACUUCGUGAAGUAGCUUGACGGUAUCGUAAGAAUAAGGAUCGGCUAACUCCGUGCCAGCAGCCGCGGUAAUACGGAGGAUCCAAGCGUUAUCCGGAAUCAUUGGGUUUAAAGGGUCCGUAGGCGGUUUAAUAAGUCAGUGGUGAAAGCCCAUCGCUCAACGGUGGAACGGCCAUUGAUACUGUUAGACUUGAAUUAUUAGGAAGUAACUAGAAUAUGUAGUGUAGCGGUGAAAUGCUUAGAGAUUACAUGGAAUACCAAUUGCGAAGGCAGGUUACUACUAAUAUAUUGACGCUGAUGGACGAAAGCGUGGGUAGCGAACAGGAUUAGAUACCCUGGUAGUCCACGCCGUAAACGAUGGAUACUAGCUGUUGGAAGCAAUUUCAGUGGCUAAGCGAAAGUGAUAAGUAUCCACCUGGGGAGUAACGUUCGCAAGAAUGAAACUUCAAAUUGAGUUGNGNGNGAGAGNGCGAGACGACGACGAGGAGGAGG